UGGGGAAUUUUGGACAAUGGGGGCAACCCUGAUCCAGCCAUGCCGCGUGAGUGAAGAAGGCCUUCGGGUUGUAAAGCUCUUUCGGCGGGGACGAAACGGUCCGUGACAACACCACGGACUAAUGACAGUACUCGCAGAAGAAGCACCGGCUAACUACGUGCCAGCAGCCGCGGUAAUACGUAGGGUGCAGGCGUUAAUCGGAAUUACUGGGCGUAAAGCGUGCGCAGGCGGCUCCUUAAGUCAGAUGUGAAAUCCCCGGGCUUAACCUGGGAACUGCGUUUGAAACUGAGGGGCUAGAGUGUGGAAGAGGGGGGUGGAAUUCCAGGUGUAGCAGUGAAAUGCGUAGAGAUCUGGAGGAACACCGAUGGCGAAGGCAGCCCCCUGGGCUAACACUGACGCUCAUGCACGAAAGCGUGGGGAGCAAACAGGAUUAGAUACCCUAGUAGUCCCUGAGCGGGCUGGCAAGGCGCAU
This 472-nucleotide ribosomal RNA is filed under the name uncultured bacterium. Its description in RNAcentral is "bacterial SSU rRNA". It matches the Rfam family "Bacterial small subunit ribosomal RNA", at positions 355 to 825 of the family's 1533-position model. The record is from RNAcentral.